CUGGUCUGGGAGAGCCGAGGGGUUUUGCUACAGAACCCCCUCACUGGCCAGGAAUAUCCCAUGGAAGAGGCUGGACUUGCAGCAGCUCUGCCCUUCUUUGGGUAGUGCAAAGAAAUAUUUGCAUGAGUAAAUCAAAGUUGUGUUUUGAAAGACUGGAAUUAAAGGGUAGGAAUUCCUCCAAAGCCAUUCUCCUGCCCUUGCUAAAUGCUUCCUGGAAUUAGGAUUUGUCUCCAAAGAUCUGAAUCCCAUCCCACCAAGGAGCCAGAGCUGCCAGAGCAGCAGGACAGGCGGGAUCUCCCCUCCCCAGCUCCACACAGGCAGGCUGUGCCCACUAAGGGUUAAAACCUUUCCUCUGGCAAUUCGAGGUCUGCGGGUAAUUUCCCCAUCUGGAGGGUGCUUUCAAGAGGAGCUGGCCCCUGGAGGGUGCUCGGGGACGGAGCCUCAGCUCAGACCUGCAGGGAGUCACCUGCCUGGGGACAAGGAACCGGGGAAUAGAGAACGGUCCCAGCUCCAGAGGGAGCAGCAGGACGAGCCUGGGGAACUGCCCGGGUUCCACACCAAGGAAAGACCUUACUAGUGUGGGAAGCUCGAGGGGUCCCCGGGGAGGAAGGGACACAACCCCCAGCCCGGCAGAGGAAAACGCGGUGGCUCUUGGGUUUUAAUUGGGAUUCCUGAGCAAGGAGAAGGUGGGAUGGGAUGGGAUGGGAUGGG
This 711-nucleotide long non-coding RNA is filed under the name Ficedula albicollis (Collared flycatcher). RNAcentral's name for it is "lncRNA (ENSFALG00000017126.2)". Lineage: Eukaryota; Metazoa; Chordata; Aves; Passeriformes; Muscicapidae. The record is from RNAcentral.